AGAGUUUGAUCCUGGCUCAGAACGAACGCUGGCGGCGUGCCUAACACAUGCAAGUCGAACGUGAAAGUCCUUCGGGAUGAGUAAAGUGGCGCACGGGUGAGUAAUGCGUAGAUAAUCUGCCUGGUGAUCUGGGAUAACAUCUCGAAAGGGGUGCUAAUACCGGAUAAGCCCACGGAGUCUUCGGACUUUGCGGGAAAAGGGGGGGACCUUCGGGCCUUCUGUCACCAGAUGAGUCUACGUACCAUUAGCUAGUUGGUGGGGUAAGAGCCCACCAAGGCUACGAUGGUUAGCUGGUCUGAGAGGAUGAUCAGCCACACUGGAACUGAGACACGGUCCAGACUCCUACGGGAGGCAGCAGUGGGGAAUUUUGCGCAAUGGGGGAAACCCUGACGCAGCAACGCCGCGUGAGUGAUGAAGGCCUUCGGGUCGUGAAGCUCUGUCAGAGGGAAAGGAA
Molecule: ribosomal RNA, 454 nt
Filed under: uncultured bacterium
Lineage: Bacteria
Description: bacterial SSU rRNA
Rfam family: Bacterial small subunit ribosomal RNA
Source: RNAcentral